This 495-nucleotide ribosomal RNA is filed under the name uncultured bacterium. RNAcentral's name for it is "partial 16S ribosomal RNA". It matches the Rfam family "Bacterial small subunit ribosomal RNA", at positions 28 to 507 of the family's 1533-position model. The record is from RNAcentral.
GACGAACGCUGGCGGCGUGCCUAAUACAUGCAAGUAGAACGCUGAAGGAGGAGCUUGCUUCUCCGGAUGAGUUGCGAACGGGUGAGUAACGCGUAGGUAACCUGCCUGGUAGCGGGGGAUAACUAUUGGAAACGAUAGCUAAUACCGCAUAAGAGUAGAUGUCGCAUGACAUUUGCUUAAAAGGUGCAACUGCACCACUACCAGAUGGACCUGCGUUGUAUUAGCUAGUUGGUGAGGUAACGGCUCACCAAGGCAACGAUACAUAGCCGACCUGAGAGGGUGAUCGGCCACACUGAGACUGUGACACGGCCCAGACUCCUACGGGAGGCAGCAGGAGGGAAUCGGCGGCAAGGGACGGAAGUCUGACCGAGCAAGGCCGCGUGAGUGAAGAAGGUUUUCGGAUCGGAAAGCUCUGUUGUAAGAGAAGAACGAGUGUGAGAGUGGAAAGUUCACACUGUGACGGUAUCUUACCAGAAAGGGACGGCUAACUACGUG